GCGUGACUUCUCUUGACAUUUGCAACUAUUUCAGCAAGUCUGAGCCAUGGAUGGCGAAGACAGGGAGCACACGCCAGGACGGCGUGUUGCGACCGGUUGCGUACGUUGAGUAUCAUUAGCGCAAAUGUUUAGAGAAGCCAGGCA
This 144-nucleotide non-coding RNA is filed under the name bovine gut metagenome. The record is from RNAcentral.